RNAcentral lists this ribosomal RNA (253 nucleotides) under uncultured bacterium. RNAcentral describes it as "partial 16S ribosomal RNA". It matches the Rfam family "Bacterial small subunit ribosomal RNA", at positions 524 to 776 of the family's 1533-position model. The record is from RNAcentral.
GACGUAGGGCGCAAGCGUUGUCCGGAUUUAUUGGGCGUAAAGAGCUCGUAGGCGGUUUGUCGCGUCUGCUGUGAAAACUCGGGGCUUAACUCCGGGCCUGCAGUGGGUACGGGCAGACUAGAGUGCGGUAGGGGAGACUGGAAUUCCUGGUGUAGCGGUGAAAUGCGCAGAUAUCAGGAGGAACACCGGUGGCGAAGGCGGGUCUCUGGGCCGUAACUGACGCUGAGGAGCGAAAGCUAGGGGAGCGAACAGG